UUGAAUUGAAGAGUUUGAUCAUGGCUCAGAUUGAACGCUGGCGGCAGGCUUAACACAUGCAAGUCGAACGGUAGCAGGAGAAAGCUUGCUUUCUUGCUGACGAGUGGCGGACGGGUGAGUAAUGCUUGGGAAUCUGGCCUAUGGAGGGGGAUAACGACGGGAAACUGUCGCUAAUACCGCGUAUUAUCGGAAGAUGAAAGUGCGGGACUGAG
Molecule: ribosomal RNA, 212 nt
Filed under: Haemophilus influenzae
Lineage: Bacteria; Pseudomonadati; Pseudomonadota; Gammaproteobacteria; Pasteurellales; Pasteurellaceae
Description: partial 16S ribosomal RNA
Rfam family: Bacterial small subunit ribosomal RNA
Source: RNAcentral